This 469-nucleotide ribosomal RNA is filed under the name uncultured bacterium. RNAcentral's name for it is "partial 16S ribosomal RNA". It matches the Rfam family "Bacterial small subunit ribosomal RNA", at positions 27 to 507 of the family's 1533-position model. The record is from RNAcentral.
GGCCGAACGCUGGCGGCGUGCUUAACACAUGCAAGUCGAACGGAAAGGCCCUGCUUUUGUGGGGUGCUCGAGUGGCGAACGGGUGAGUAACACGUGAGUAACCUGCCCUUGACUUUGGGAUAACUUCAGGAAACUGGGGCUAAUACCGGAUAGGAGCUCCUGCUGCAUGGUGGGGGUUGGAAAGUUUCGGCGGUUGGGGAUGGACUCGCGGCUUAUCAGCUUGUUGGUGGGGUAGUGGCUUACCAAGGCUUUGACGGGUAGCCGGCCUGAGAGGGUGACCGGCCACAUUGGGACUGAGAUACGGCCCAGACUCCUACGGGAGGCAGCAGUGGGGAAUAUUGCACAAUGGGCGGAAGCCUGAUGCAGCAACGCCGCGUGCGGGAUGACGGCCUUCGGGUUGUAAACCGCUUUCGCCUGUGACGAAGCGUGAGUGACGGUAAUGGGUAAAGAAGCACCGGCUAACUACGUG